Molecule: non-coding RNA, 23 nt
Filed under: Mus musculus (house mouse)
Lineage: Eukaryota; Metazoa; Chordata; Mammalia; Rodentia; Muridae
Source: RNAcentral
UCACUCAUCAUUGUAGGCCUUGC